GGCCCUCUUCAGCCACUCCCUCCCCAACCCACACGCCAUCAACCUCCAGACCCUCUCGCCGUGGCUUAGAGGUGUCUCUGACAACGUGGCACACUGGGAAGGCCUUCUUUCCUGCUACCAAUACAAAUGCAUUCUGAAUUUGAUAUGUCAUUAAAUGUAAAAAUACAGCCAAUUUGAAACAAGCAAAUGGAAAUUCCCAGGAACCAAAAACAGAAAGAAAAAUCAGAGCUACCGCAGUGCUGUCCCUGCAGACAGAAUUUGGGAGAGGUACUCAGAGUCACCUCCUGUGAGCCUAUGCAAGCCAGCUCCUGCACAACCCUGGUUUUAGUCCAGGUUGUCUUGUGGUAGAGGAGAUUUUGCCUUGCAAUUUUACAUACUUAUGCUACGUGGAAGGCUGGGUGGCGUGACUUCAGGUUUUGCAAAAGUCUCAUGAAUCAUCCCUUCCUGUGGUCCUGCUCCCUGAGAUCCUUUCACCGCUCACAGUGGGCUACUUCUAAGAGCGUGCCUGGCACAGGGUCACUGAGAGCAUAGUCUUAAUAAAACAAUGAUGGAUGCUUGUCUCUCUCACUGGGUGCCAUGCACUUUGAUCAGAAGCUUUAAGAAUGUUUUCCUCCACUGUCUAGUCACAGCCGUAUUAAAUUACACAAGGCAUGGGAAGAGGCAUAAUCUGUUGAUGAUAAAUCAGAAUUAAUGAGAGUUUAACAAGCCUGCUAAAUACUAAGUCAAUGUAAAAAAUCAAUUGUAAGCCCAUCUAUCAGAAAAACACUAUUAGCAAGCAAAAUUUACAUUUUUACUGCUUAACAUAGCAUCCCAAAUAUCAAGUACCUAGCAACAAAUCUAACGAAAGAUAUGCAAGACUUAUAGAGAAAACAGCAACAGCAACAACUUUGUUUAGAUACAUUAGCGAAGAUCUCAUUACAUGGAGACAUACACUAUGCUCAUGGACUGGAAGACUCCAUAUGGAAGAUGCCAAUUCACAUCUCAGAAUCUCAGCAGGUGUUGCAAAGAACCUGAAAAUUUGUUUUAAAAAUUCAUGUCAAAAUGCAAAGGUCCUACAAUUGCCAAAGAAAAAUAGGGAGGGAGGACCACCUGAUAUCAGCGGUGAUUAUAAAACAAUAAUAAAUGUGAUACCUUGCCUUAAGUCUGGGGAUAGACAAAUAGACGAGGGGCGCAGGUUGGAGAAUCCAGAAACUGACCCAUGAAUACAUUGACACUUGAUAUAUGACAGAAAUGGCCCCCAAAGCCAUGGGUGUCUGGGCAUAUAGUAUCCAUACAGAAAAAA
Long non-coding RNA from Homo sapiens (human), 1282 nucleotides. Ensembl annotates it as long intergenic non-protein coding RNA 929. NCBI's taxonomy places the organism in Eukaryota, Metazoa, Chordata, Mammalia, Primates, Hominidae. The record is from Ensembl.